This 496-nucleotide ribosomal RNA is filed under the name uncultured bacterium. RNAcentral describes it as "partial 16S ribosomal RNA". It matches the Rfam family "Bacterial small subunit ribosomal RNA", at positions 28 to 507 of the family's 1533-position model. The record is from RNAcentral.
GAUGAACGCUGGCGGCGUGCCUAAUACAUGCAAGUCGAGCGAACAGACGAGGAGCUUGCUCCUCUGACGUUAGCGGCGGACGGGUGAGUAACACGUGGAUAACCUACCUAUAAGACUGGGAUAACUUCGGGAAACCGGAGCUAAUACCGGAUAAUAUAUUGAACCGCAUGGUUCAAUAGUGAAAGACGGUUUUGCUGUCACUUAUAGAUGGAUCCGCGCCGCAUUAGCUAGUUGGUAAGGUAAGGGCUUACCAAGGCAACGAUGCGUAGCCGACCUGAGAGGGGGUGGGCCCCCACAGGACCAGAGAGACGCGCCAGACCCCCACGGGGGGCCGAGGAGGGGAGACUACCGCAAUGGGGGAAAGCGUGAGGGGCAACGGCCGCGUGGGAGAUAAGGGUCUCUGGGGUGUAAAACCCUCUUUUGAGGGAAAAACAAAUGUGAAAGUAAUGUGGGCCGUUUUAAGGGAACUUAAUAAGAAACCCCGGCUAAAUAAGGG